RNAcentral lists this ribosomal RNA (1316 nucleotides) under metagenome. RNAcentral describes it as "bacterial SSU rRNA". It matches the Rfam family "Bacterial small subunit ribosomal RNA", at positions 117 to 1458 of the family's 1533-position model. The record is from RNAcentral.
GUGAGGGACCUGCCUCAAAGAGGGGGACAACAGUUGGAAACGACUGCUAAUACCGCAUAAGCCCACAGGUCGGCAUCGACCAGAGGGAAAAGGAGCAAUCCGCUUUGAGAUGGCCUCGCGUCCGAUUAGCUAGUUGGUGAGGUAACGGCCCACUAAGGCAACGAUCGGUAGCCGGACUGAGAGGUUGAACGGCCACAUUGGGACUGAGACACGGCCCAGACUCCUACGGGAGGCAGCAGUGGGGAAUAUUGCACAAUGGGGGAAACCCUGAUGCAGCGACGCCGCGUGGAGGAAGAAGGUCUUCGGAUUGUAAACUCCUGUUGUUGAGGAAGACAAUGACGGUACUCAACAAGGAAGUGACGGCUAACUACGUGCCAGCAGCCGCGGUAAAACGUAGGUCACAAGCGUUGUCCGGAAUUACUGGGUGUAAAGGGAGCGCAGGCGGGAAGACAAGUUGGAAGUGAAAUCUAUGGGCUCAACCCAUAAACUGCUUUCAAAACUGUUUUUCUUGAGUAGUGCAGAGGUAGGCGGAGUUCCCGGUGUAGCGGUGGAAUGCGUAGAUAUCGGGAGGAACACCAGUGGCGAAGGCGGCCUACUGGGCACCAACUGACGCUGAGGCUCGAAAGUGUGGGUAGCAAACAGGAUUAGAUACCCUGGUAGUCCACACCGUAAACGAUGAUUACUAGGUGUUGGAGGAUUGACCCCUUCAGUGCCGCAGUUAACACAAUAAGUAAUCCACCUGGGGAGUACGACCGCAAGGUUGAAACUCAAAGGAAUUGACGGGGGCCCGCACAAGCAGUGGAGUAUGUGGUUUAAUUCGACGCAACGCGAAGAACCUUACCAAGUCUUGACAUCCUGCGACGCACAUAGAAAUAUGUGUUUCCUUCGGGACGCAGAGACAGGUGUGCAUGGUUGUCGUCAGCUCGUGUCGUGAGAUGUUGGGUUAAGUCCCGCAACGAGCGCAACCCUUACUGUCAGUUACUACGCAAGAGGACUCUGGCAGGACUGCCGUUGACAAAACGGAGGAAGGUGGGGAUGACGUCAAAUCAUCAUGCCCUUUACGACUUGGGCUACACACGUACUACAAUGGCGUUAAACAAAGAGAAGCAAGACCGCGGGGUGGAGCAAAACUCAGAAACAACGUCCCAGUUCGGACUGCAGGCUGCAACUCGCCUGCACGAAGUCGGAAUUGCUAGUAAUCGUGGAUCAGCAUGCCACGGUGAAUACGUUCCCGGGCCUUGUACACACCGCCCGUCACACCAUGAGAGCCGGGGGGACCCGAAGUCGGUAGUCUAACCGCAAGGAGGACGCCGCCG